CGGCAACAUUCCGAACCCGGAAGCUAAGCCUCUCAGCGCCGAUGGUACUGCCCUGGAGACGGGGUGGGAGAGUAGGACGCCGCCGGAC
RNAcentral lists this ribosomal RNA (88 nucleotides) under Blastococcus haudaquaticus. The record is from RNAcentral. Lineage: Bacteria; Bacillati; Actinomycetota; Actinomycetes; Geodermatophilales; Geodermatophilaceae.